This is a long non-coding RNA of Anneissia japonica, 804 nucleotides long. RefSeq lists it as uncharacterized. The record is from RefSeq and is a predicted model, not a curated record. NCBI's taxonomy places the organism in Eukaryota, Metazoa, Echinodermata, Crinoidea, Comatulida, Comatulidae. The transcript has 3 exons.
CUUCAAGCUCAAAAUCUAUCUCAAAAUCCAAACACUUUUAUAUCCCUCAACUGAAUCAACAGACCGAUGUAUUUUCCCGUCCCGGAUUCGUUAGAGAUACCGGUAAGCCAACAUUGCGUUGUUUAUUCUGCUAUAACUUGGACUUUAUGACCGCCGCAUACAGGACUAUUACUGCCAUUGGCAGCUAGCUUCAUGUCAUAAACUCCAAAGUACAUCGAUGAAACUCUUGUCAAAUCUUUCUGUCAGAGCUCAGGACUACAUUCGUUGUGUAUAAGUCAUCAACCCACAAUUAUAUUUUUAGGCCUAUUCGUAGAUCGUGAUCGCUAAUUAUUGCUUUAAAUUGGAUCAUAAUUAUUAACGGACACUUGCUCCACCAGCUCAAGGAAUAUGAUGAAGUCGGGUAGUGGUGUGUGUGUGGAGCGUUCUAUCUGAUGGGUUCGGCUGUGGUUCGCAUGAGAAGUAGAGUAGGGCUUGGACAGGAGAAACAGUUUAACAACAUGGGUAGUUUGUAUGAAUUAAAGAAAGAGCUUCGAGAGAAAGAUCGGCGCAUAGAGGAACUAGAAAACAUAGUAAAAGCAAAGGAUGUUGAAUUGGCCGAAUUGCGUACGACCGUAGAUAAAUUUCAAUCAGUGCUUCCCACAAUAGGUCGCCCUGGAUCUACUGUUUAUACGAAGAAAAGAGCCGUAGGUAUUUCCGCUGAACCUCAAUCACUACAAUCCGUUCAAGAAGCGGCACAAAAAGAAUUCAAGAAGUAUCCAAAGUCAAAGAGGUAAGUGUGAUAAAACACCAUUAAAAAAAAAAAAA